This 190-nucleotide transfer-messenger RNA is filed under the name Microcoleus sp. SIO2G3. RNAcentral describes it as "partial transfer-messenger RNA". It matches the Rfam family "transfer-messenger RNA", at positions 176 to 354 of the family's 374-position model. From Rfam's summary of the family: Bacterial tmRNA, also known as 10Sa RNA or SsrA, is named for its dual tRNA and mRNA-like properties. Its role is to liberate the mRNA from a stalled ribosome. The record is from RNAcentral. Lineage: Bacteria; Bacillati; Cyanobacteriota; Cyanophyceae; Oscillatoriales; Microcoleaceae.
UAGACCAACCCCAACGGAUGCUCUCUUUAGUUGCCUUUGGUCGGUUAAAGAGAAAAGACUUCACCAAAGAAUCCUGUCAUCCGGGACAAUGGAUGGUUCCCGCCCUGAGGGUCAGAUGGGCUAAGCCUGUGAAUGAGCGGUAGGUCAAUACCCAAGGCGGACACGGGUUCAAUUCCCGUAGGCUCCACUU